AACAAGGAUUAGAUAACCUGGGUAGUCCACGCCCGUAAACCGAUGAUGACUAGCUGUUCGGGGCGCUUGGCGUUUCGGUGGCGCAGCUAACGCGUUAAGUCAUCCGCCUGGGGAGUACGGCCGCAAGGUUAAAAACUCAAAGAAAUUGACGGGGGCCUGCACAAGCGGUGGAGCAUGUGGUUUAAUCCGAAGCAACGCGCAGAACCUUACCAGCGUUUGACAUGGUAGGACGGUUUCCAGAGAUGGAUUCCUUCCCUUACGGGACCUACACACAGGUGCUGCAUGGCUGUCGUCAGCUCGUGUCGUGAGAUGUUGGGUUAAGUCCCGCAACGAGCGCAACCCUCGUCUCUAGUUGCCACCAUUUAGUUGGGCACUCUAGAGAAACUGCCGGUGAUAAGCCGGAGGAAGGUGGGGAUGACGUCAAGUCCUCAUGGCCCUUACGCGCUGGGCUACACACGUGCUACAAUGGCGGUGACAGAGGGCUGCAAACCCGCGAGGGUGAGCUAAUCUCCAAAAGCCGUCUCAGUUCGGAUUGUUCUCUGCAGCUCGAGAGCAUGAAGGCGGAAUCGCUAGUAAUCGCGGAUCAGCAUGCCGCGGUGAAUACGUUCCCAGGCCUUGUACACACCGCCCGUCACACCAUGGGAGUUGGUUUCACCCGAAGGCGCUACGCUAACCCGCAAGGGAGGCAGGCGACCACGGUGGGAUCAGCGACUGGGGUGAAGUCGUAACAAGGUAACC
Molecule: ribosomal RNA, 738 nt
Filed under: uncultured bacterium
Lineage: Bacteria
Description: bacterial SSU rRNA
Rfam family: Bacterial small subunit ribosomal RNA
Source: RNAcentral